CUACCAUGCAGUCGAACGAUGAUGCUGGUGCUUGCACUGGUGGAUUAGUGGCGAACGGGUGAGUAACACGUGAGUAACCUGCCCCUGACUUCGGGAUAAGCCCGGGAAACUGGGUCUAAUACCGGAUAUGACUUCCUGCUGCAUGGCAGGGGGUGGAAAGAUUUAUCGGUUGGGGAUGGACUCGCGGCCUAUCAGCUUGUUGGUGAGGUAAUGGCUCACCAAGGCGACGACGGGUAGCCGGCCUGAGAGGGUGACCGGCCACACUGGGACUGAGACACGGCCCAGACUCCUACGGGAGGCAGCAGUGGGGAAUAUUGCACAAUGGGCGAAAGCCUGAUGCAGCGACGCCGCGUGAGGGAUGACGGCCUUCGGGUUGUAAACCUCUUUCAGUAGGGAAGAAGCCCCUUUUGGGGGUGACGGUACUUGCAAAAAAAACGCCCGCUAACUACGUGCCCACAGCCCCGGUAAUACGUAGGGCGCAAGCGUUAUCCGGAAUUAUUGGGCGUAAAGAGCUCGUAGGCGGUUUGUCGCGUCUGCCGUGAAAGUCCGAGGCUCAACCUCGGAUCUGCGGUGGGUACGGGCAGACUAGAGUGAUGUAGGGGAGACUGGAAUUCCUGGUGUAGCGGUGAAAUGCGCAGAUAUCAGGAGGAACACCGAUGGCGAAGGCAGGUCUCUGGGCAUUUACUGACGCUGAGGAGCGAAAGCAUGGGGAGCGAACAGGAUUAGAUACCCUGGUAGUCCAUGCCGUAAACGUUGGGCACUAGGUGUGGGGGACAUUCCACGUUUUCCGCGCCGUAGCUAACGCAUUAAGGCCCCGCCGG
This 821-nucleotide ribosomal RNA is filed under the name Arthrobacter sp. IMARCUG-4. RNAcentral's name for it is "bacterial SSU rRNA". It matches the Rfam family "Bacterial small subunit ribosomal RNA", at positions 49 to 873 of the family's 1533-position model. Lineage: Bacteria; Bacillati; Actinomycetota; Actinomycetes; Micrococcales; Micrococcaceae. The record is from RNAcentral.